This 216-nucleotide ribosomal RNA is filed under the name uncultured bacterium. RNAcentral's name for it is "partial 16S ribosomal RNA". It matches the Rfam family "Bacterial small subunit ribosomal RNA", at positions 1285 to 1500 of the family's 1533-position model. The record is from RNAcentral.
GUCCCAGUUCGGAUUGUAGUCUGNAACCCGACUACAUGAAGCUGGAAUCGCUAGUAAUCGCGGAUCAGAAUGCCGCGGUGAAUACGUUCCCGGGUCUUGUACACACCGCCCGUCACACCAUGGGAGUCGGAAAUGCCCGAAGUCAGUGACCCAACCGUAAGGAGGGAGCUGCCGAAGGUGGAGCCGGUAACUGGGGUGAAGUCGUAACAAGGUAGC